GCUACGUGGAUGCCGAAGGGCACUUGUCGUGCUCCGGCAUGAUCU
RNAcentral lists this transfer RNA (45 nucleotides) under Oxyrrhis marina. RNAcentral's name for it is "partial Selenocysteine transfer RNA". The record is from RNAcentral. Lineage: Eukaryota; Dinophyceae; Oxyrrhinales; Oxyrrhinaceae.